This 513-nucleotide ribosomal RNA is filed under the name uncultured Entrophospora. RNAcentral describes it as "bacterial SSU rRNA". It matches the Rfam family "Eukaryotic small subunit ribosomal RNA", at positions 591 to 1114 of the family's 1831-position model. The record is from RNAcentral. Lineage: Eukaryota; Fungi; Glomeromycota; Glomeromycetes; Entrophosporales; Entrophosporaceae.
CCAAUAGCGUAUAUUAAGGUUGCUGCGGUUAAAAAGCUCGUAGUUGAAUUUCAGGAUUGAUACAUCGGUCGUGCCUUAAGGGGUAUGAACUGGCGUAGCCAACUCCUCACCUUCUGGUGAUUUGUGAUGCCUCCUUAACUGGGUGUUUCAAUGAAUUAGGACUUUUACUUUGAAAAAAUUAGUGUGUUUAAAGCAGGCAUUAUUUGCUUGAAUACAUUAGCAUGGAAUAAUAAAAUAGGACAAUGAUUCUAUUUUGUUGGUUUCUAGGAUCACCAUAAUGAUUAAUAGGAAUGAAUAGUUGGGGGCAGUAGUAUUCAAUUGUAAGAGGUGAAAUUCUUGGAUUAAUUGAAGACUAACUACUGUGAAAGCAUUUGCCAAGGAUGUUUUCAUUAAUCAAGAACAAAAGUUAGGGAUCGUAGUCUUAACCAUAAACUAUGCCAACUAGGAAUCAGACAACGUUAAAUUUUUAAUGACUCGUUUGGCACCUUAUGGGAAACCAAAGUGUUUGGNUUC